AAUUUUCUGAUGACUCUCCUCUUUUGCUUUUCAAUGUGAAUUAAAACGAGCGGUGCAAAUCA
Molecule: transfer RNA, 62 nt
Filed under: Thaumamermis cosgrovei
Lineage: Eukaryota; Metazoa; Nematoda; Enoplea; Mermithida; Mermithidae
Description: tRNA-His
Source: RNAcentral